This is a long non-coding RNA of Cyprinodon tularosa, 376 nucleotides long. RefSeq lists it as uncharacterized. The record is from RefSeq and is a predicted model, not a curated record. Lineage: Eukaryota; Metazoa; Chordata; Actinopteri; Cyprinodontiformes; Cyprinodontidae. The transcript has 3 exons.
GCAGGUUGUUUGACACUCAUUAUGUUCCCCUGUUCUAACAGCAGGUCCUACGCAGCGUCUCCAACCUGCAUCUCCUGCUCAGCACUCUGCAGGCGGUGGUGGUCCAGCAGGACAGCUACAUCGAAGACCAGCGGCAGUCCUCCCAUCCCAGCUCCCUGAUUGAGCAAGAGAAGCAGCGCAGCCUGGAGAAGCAGAGGCAGGAGUUGGCCUCCCUGCAAAGGCAAGUGGCUGCUCUCACCGAGGAGAGGCGGAAGAGGGAGAAGGAGUGGGAGUUGAGGGAGCAGCAGCUUUCUGAGAGAGAGUCGGCGGUGCACUCACAGCAGGAAAAUAAAUGCUGAGGGAGUCAUGCAGGAGUGCUUCACAAGCUGCAGGGGGU